GUGACUAGUGGCAGAGGGAGGGGUGACUAGGGACAGAGUGAGGGAGGUGGUGACUAGUGACAGUCACCACCUCCCUCAUUCUGUCACUGGUCACCCACUCCCUCCCUCACUCUGUCACCAGUCACCCCUUCCUUCCCUCUGUCACCCCCUCACUCUGUCACUAGUCACCCCCUCACUCUAGUGACAGAGUGA
Molecule: non-coding RNA, 192 nt
Organism: Pelobates cultripes (western spadefoot toad)
Lineage: Eukaryota; Metazoa; Chordata; Amphibia; Anura; Pelobatidae
Source: the annotation of a GenBank genome assembly